Catharus ustulatus (Swainson's thrush) is the source of this 295-nucleotide long non-coding RNA. RefSeq lists it as uncharacterized. NCBI's taxonomy places the organism in Eukaryota, Metazoa, Chordata, Aves, Passeriformes, Turdidae. The transcript has 3 exons. The record is from RefSeq and is a predicted model, not a curated record.
GCAUUCAAGUCUUUUGACUGUCUUCUGAGUGCCAGGGAGGAGUGGGAGCUGGCUACUCCAUAAGAAAGGAUGAGAUAAACACAUUUCUACAAAAUCUGAGACUUACAUCUUGAACUGGAACCUAUUUGUGAGUAGAUUCAACAGCAGCAAAUUUGUCUAAAAUAAUAUUUAAGAGAGAGCAGAAACUGGAAAAUUGCUGAAUAUGCUGAAGAUUUAUUCCUGAAACAAAGGCAUAACUUACCAGUUAGGCUGAAGAAUAAAAGGCAGUGUCCUAAAUAACAUCAGUCUCACAGUU